UACGUAGGGGGCAAGCGUUAUCCGGAUUUACUGGGUGUAAAGGGGGCGCAGACGGCGAUGCAAGCCAGGAGUGAAAGCCCGGGGCCCAACCCCGGGACUGCUCUUGGAACUGCGUGGCUGGAGUGCAAGAGGGGCAGGCGGAAUUCCUGGUGUAGCGGUGAAAUGCGUAGAUAUCAGGAGGAACACCGGUGGCGAAGGCGGCCUGCUGGACUGCAACUGACGUUGAGGCCCGAAAGCGUGGGGAGCAAACAGG
Molecule: ribosomal RNA, 253 nt
Filed under: uncultured bacterium
Lineage: Bacteria
Description: partial 16S ribosomal RNA
Rfam family: Bacterial small subunit ribosomal RNA
Source: RNAcentral